UUUAACAUAUCGCUAAAGUUUGACCCGAAAGCAUAGCAUUCUAGUAAGUGAGAUUGUAAGUCUCCCCCCUUUCAUGGUAUUGUGUGGAAACAUGGUCUUUUUUCCUUCCUUUAGAAGAUGUCUUGGUUCAAGGAUCCAUGCUUGUGAAUAGAGGGUUGAGUGUUCUCAAAAGAAUGACUUAAACAUUGAAAAGCAAAAGCAAUACUAACUUCUAAUCAACUAACAUUCAACUAAGAUUUAAUUUCAAGCACUUUAC
This 256-nucleotide long non-coding RNA is filed under the name Lathyrus oleraceus (garden pea). RNAcentral describes it as "Pisum sativum (pea) long non-coding RNA (PSAT_LNC012190)". Lineage: Eukaryota; Viridiplantae; Streptophyta; Magnoliopsida; Fabales; Fabaceae. The record is from RNAcentral.